Molecule: long non-coding RNA, 1818 nt
Organism: Oryctolagus cuniculus (rabbit)
Lineage: Eukaryota; Metazoa; Chordata; Mammalia; Lagomorpha; Leporidae
Source: Ensembl
CGGUUGGUCACACUCCCCAGGGUGGUCACAUGCUCUGUGGUGAUCACACUCGCCAUGGGUGGUCACACUCCCUGUGGUUGGUUGCACUCCCAGUAGUGCUCACUCUCAGUGUUUGGUCACACUCCCCAUGGUUGGCCACAGUCCCUGUUUGGUCACACCCCCUGUGGUUGGUCACAUUCCCAUGGUGGUCGAACACCCUCUGGUAGGUCACACUCACCAUGGUUGGUUGCACUCCCCAUGGUGGUCUCAUGCCCUGUGGUUGGUCACCCUCCCUAUGGUGGUCACACCCUGUGGUUUGCCACACUCCCAGUGGUUGUUCACUCUCCCCAUGGUUGGUCACAGUCCCCUUGUUGUUCUUACUCCCUGUUGGUCACACUCCCCAUGGUUGGUUACACUUUGCCAUGGUUGCUUGCAUGCUCUGUGGGUUGGUCCCAUUCCUAGUGGUUGUUCAUACUCCCUGUGGGUUUUCUUCACUCCCCAUGGCUUGGUCACACUCGCCAUUCUUGGUCACACUACCUAUGGUUGGUCCUACUCCCCCUGGUUGGUCACCCUUCCUUUGGGUUGGUCACUGUCCCCAUGGUUGGUCACACUCCUAGUGGUUGGUCAUACUCCCUGUGGGUUUUCUUCACUCCCUGUGAGUUGGUCACUGUCCCCGUGGUUGGUCACACUCUCCGUGGGUUGGUUAUACUCCCCGUGGGUUGGUCACACUCCCUGUGGGUUGGUCACUAUUCCCAUGGUUGGUCACACUCCCUGUGGUUAGUCACUGUCCCCAUGAUUGGUUAUACUCCCUGUGGUUGGUCGCACUCCCUGUGGGUAGGUCACACUCCCUGUGGUUGGUUACACUCUCUGUGGGUAGGUCACACUCCCUGUGGUUUUCCAGACUCCCCAUAGUUGGUCACACUUCCCAUGGUUGGUCGCAUGCCCUGUGGUUGGUCACACUCCUAGUGGUUGGUCACACUCCCCAUGGUUGGUCACACUCCCCGUGGUCACUGUCCCCAUGGUUGGUUAUACUCCCUGUGGUUGGCCACACUCCCCAUGGGUUGGUCACACUCCCCGUGGUUGGUCACUGUCCCCAUGAUUGGUUACACUCCCUGUGGUUGGUCACAAUUCCCAUGGUUGGUCGCAUGCCCUGUGGUUGGUCACACUCCCCGUGGUUGGUCACUGUCCCAAUGGUUGAUUACACUCCCUGUGGUUGGCCACACUCCCCGUGGGUUGGUCACACUCCCCGUGGUUGGUCACUGUCCCAAUGGUUGGUUACACUCCCUGUGGUUGGCCACACUCCCCGUGGGUUGGUCACACUCCCCGUGGUUGGUCACUGUCCCCAUGAUUGGUUACACUCCCUGUGGUUGGUCACAAUUCCCAUGGUUGGUCGCAUGCCCUGUGGUUGGUCACACUCCUAGUGGUUGGUCACACUCCCCGUGGUUGGUCACACUCCCUGUGGGUUGGUCACGCUCCCUGUGGUUGGUCACACUCCCUGUGGGUUGGUCACACUCCCCGUGGUUGGUCAUUGUCCCCAUGGUUGGUUACACUCCCUGUGGGUUGGUCAGACUCCCUGUGGUUUUCCAGACUCCCCAUGGUUGGUCAUACUCCUUGUGGGUUUUCUUCUCUUCCCGUGGGUUGGUCACACUCCCUGUUGUUUUCCAGACUCCCCGUGGUUGGUCAGACUUCCCAUGGUUGGUCACAUGCCCUGUGGCUGGUCACGCUCCGCAUCGUUGGUCACAUGCCCUGUGCAUGGGUCACAGGUUCUGUGGUUGUUCCCAGGACCCAAGGGUGGUCUCCUCUCUUCAGGUCCUGGGGGAAUGGAUAAAUCCAGGGUAG